This is an RNA transcript of Falco peregrinus (peregrine falcon), 3596 nucleotides long. RefSeq lists it as uncharacterized. The transcript has 2 exons. The record is from RefSeq and is a predicted model, not a curated record. NCBI's taxonomy places the organism in Eukaryota, Metazoa, Chordata, Aves, Falconiformes, Falconidae.
CAGUGCGUGUGCGCGUUCAUGUGUGCGCGUUCAUGUGUGUGCGCGCAUCCCGGGCUGCCUGCGCUUUUUUCGGGGUAACCCUUCCUCUGCCGCCCCGUUCCCCGCUAAGCCGCUGCCCUGCCCUGCCAAGCCCACGCAAAGGCAGGACUAUUUUAACACCGAGAAGCACCCGGGCGAUAGGAUACAGCCCUCCAAGGCUCUGCAUACUUUUCAAAGCUCUUAUUUGAGGAUGAUUUAUAUCCCUUUCCCGAAGCUGAUAGACGAGCGGUGCAUUUUUUCGUGGAAAAAAAAAAAUAGCCCCCCUUAUAAAUCUUUCUCGUCCUCUGUCCAUCCGUCCCUUCUUUCUCCACGUUCCCCGAUAUUAGCAACCUGUCGCCGACACACAGAGCUUUGUCGAUCCCAGCCAGGCAUUUCUGCUCCCUGUGCCCCCAAAUCACGGGGGAUACUACAAACUCCUGCUGCCUUGCCCCAGAGGGGCUAGGGGGGCUCACGCCCGGCCCCCUCCUGCCCUUGGCCCCUCACCCAGCCCAUGCUUCACAUCAGAGACACUCGAGACACACUUCGGUCAAAUCAAGAGGGUGUCAAGCCAAGGAGAUGACUCGACCAGCCGUUACCUGCUCCUGCGGAGGUGGGUCCUCCUCGCUUGGUCACCCAAAGCCCACCGGGUCCGGCAGGUUGAAAGGGACUAAAGUGACCGAAGCGCUGGGCUCCGGCAUGGUAUGAUUUUAGGGAUCACUGCCAAGGUCUCUGCUUUCCAUAGCUGCCAACGGACACCAUCACGCAAGGUUUCUCUCAAGGAAAGGAGGAAGGAAAUUGUCUUGCCAAGCUGCUCGUCCAGCCGGUCACUUGACCCCGUCCCCCACCGAUGACACGGAGGAACACCCCGGGAAAGCGGUUAAACGCCUCGGAAUUCCCUUGCCUUCCUCUCCCAGCGGCGGCUGGGGCGCAGCGCGGCGGAGCGCCCUCACGGCCGCGCCGGCCCCGCUCCCCGCCGGCCGCCCGAGCGGCUCCGCUGCGCAGCGAGGGGGACCGGUCCCAGCCGCGGGGCUGCGGCGCGCCCAGCCUCGGGCAUAGUCUUCCUUAAACUUUGCCUAGCGAGCGAGUCAGCGGCUUAACCCUUUGCAGCCCUUGCUCUCGCCCGGCCGCCGAGCCCGCAGGCCUGGGGAUGCGCUGGUGCGAGGGGCAGCGCAGCCGGCUGCUCGCCCGGCGGCUUUCAGUUACGUGCCAUUCGCUAGUCUUGAUUUCAUUUCAUUUUUUUUUUUUUUUUUCAGUUGAAAUAAAUCACAACCGCCAACUGGGGAGCAGUUGGAGAGCUGAACACUGCUUUCUGGAUAGGGGCCGGAGGAAAAAAAAAAAAAAAAAAGAAAAAAAAAAAGUCCUCUCGGCAAAGCAGCUUUCCUGGGGACUCACCUGUGGUCCCUACUUUGUCACCGAAUCUGGUAUGGAAACUGUCACACUCAUGGCACGGAUCCCUCGCACACACAUACACAGAGCUUCUACACCUUCCUCAGCAUGGUGUGGCUGAAAGUACAGCUCCGCAUGAGCUAUUUCGCUCAGACCUCCGGAUUCAGCACGUUUACAGGUUAUUAAUAACAGCAGAGAAAGGAGCAAGCGAGAAAGAAACAUAUUUCCAUGGAAAAAAAAAUAGAAAAAAAAAACCCAACAACAAACCAACAAGAAAGCCUUUUUCACACAUGCACUUUGUAGUCAAAGGAAAUAUUUACCACCAGCAAACUCCAGCAUGUCAGAACAUGUUUCCUUCGAAGCAGAAGAGAGCUUAAAAAUGAGAGAAAAAGCAUGUGCAAUUCAAAGAUGAAAUGAAGUGCAUGAAAGCUUUCCAAACUCAGCACCACCAGCCUGGAGCCUGAUGUCAAGACAACGCUGGAGCGCUGCAACACAAAGAUGCGGAAGGGGAAAGAAGGAAACUAGCAAACUCCAUUGUUUUUUGUGGUUGUUUUUUUUUUUUUUUUAAUAUUCUUUUUUAUAUAUUUUCAGGAAAUUAUGAUGUUUGCCACCCUUCCCUGCACACACCCCCCACACACCCCGAAUAAAAACAAAAUAAGGGGGACAAACACAUACGACCACCUCUAAGUGCAGCUGAACACUGAGAGCCUGGAGGUGGGCUGGGCUGCCGGGACCUCCUUCCAGCGCCCCGGGGGUCACCCCGCGGGGAGGACACGGAGGCAAUGGCCCCUGCGGGCCAAGGGGACUCUGGCCUCCUGAGCUGGGUAAGGUAAGGCUGGCCGAGGAAGGAGAAGAACCCUACAAUAAGCCAAAGAGCAGGGAAAAAAAAAAAUAAACAAACAAAAAAACCCAAACCAAACCUCCUCCCACCCACAUUUUUAGGUUUGGAAUUUAAGAAGAGGCAAAUAGACCUAUUUGAAAGAAUACCCCCCUCCCCCCCCCCAAAAAAAAAGAAAAAAAGCCAAACAAAAAGAACCCCUUUAGAUAUUGCAUCUAGCCUCAUCCCGUUUGUAACGUUGGGGGGCAGAAGCGGGGAGGUGGGCGCAGCCGCCGGGCUGAGGCCGGCGGGCAGGCGGGCGCGCAGCGGGGCUCCGCGGGCGCGGAGCGGGGCGGGCUGCAGCGCCGGCGGCGCGGCGCAGGGGGCAGCAGAGCCCAGCGCUGGGCGACCGGGACACCCCCCCCCCCACCACCACCCCCGAUGGCUCGGGCUGCACACAACAGCUUCCCCCCCACCCCCGAUAUAAGUGUGUGUGUGUGUUAGCAAACCGCCCGGCGUGGGGAAAGGCAGCCGAAAAGGCGGUACAGCGAGGGCGCUCCCGCACGGGCUGGGGGCACGCAGGGUGGCCAGCCCGCGGUGGUGGUCCUCCGAGCCGCAACGCCACCUCACUUAUUUGAAACAGAAUGUGAAAUGGGGUAACAUUAAGGAAGAUUAUAAAAAUCAGAGUCUUUUCCAUAAAUUCUUUUUUUUUUUUUUUUUUUUUUUUUACCCCCAGCUGUAUCGUUAAAGUGAUUUCUGCAGCUGCAGGGGAGCCGGGAAAAGGCACUGGAAGUGAUUCUGUAAUGGGGGGGGGGGGGGGGGGGCUGGUUGGUCUGAAACGUACUGAGUGAUGCCCAGGUCUUGUCAAUCAUGUCAAAUUGGGGGUCAGGCCUUAAAUUCGUGCAGCUGAUGGAAGGGGGGGGGGGGGGGGGGGGCGGCAAUGACAAGGUGAAUUCUUCAUCAAAUUUGGGAAAAUCAGCUGCUUUAAAAAAGCUUUGAGGAAGGGAAGGGAAGGAAAAAAGGAAGGGAAAGGGGCAUUUAGAAUAGCAGACAAAUGAGUUAUGAAGAUAUUGUUAUAUUGUACUGAAUUCUAGACAAGAUGAAGUUAUGAAUGUGUUUCUCUUCACUGCAAUCAAACAAGUGAAGCACUUGAGCUAGAACUACAUUAGACCAGGGAACACCAACACCCCAUGUCUCUUUUCUCUGGGCUCUCACUUCUGUGGCAAGCUGAAAAGCAAAUUACCAUACUGGUUCUGAAACAGCCUUUGGCAGAGUUUGUGAUAUGACUCAAAUGGUAAAUUUCUACUAUUUUGGAAAGUAGGGAUUGGAUUUGAUUUUCAAAUAGAAUUAAUAAUAAAACUUAAGUAUGCCAUUA